GAGUUUGAUCCUGGCUCAGGACGAACGCUGGCGGCGUGCUUAACACAUGCAAGUCGAACGGUGAAGGGAAGCUUGCUUCCCGGAUCAGUGGCGAACGGGUGAGUAACACGUGGGCAAUCUGCCCCAGACUUUGGGAUAACUACUCGAAAGAGUAGCUAAUACCGAAUAUUCAGCCUUGCAGGCAUCUGCGAGGCUGGAAAGUUUCUCGGUCUGGGAUGAGCCCGCGGCCUAUCAGCUAGUUGGUGAGGUAAUGGCUCACCAAGGCGACGACGGGUAGCCGGCCUGAGAGGGCGACCGGCCACACUGGGACUGAGACACGGCCCAGACUCCUACGGGAGGCAGCAGUGGGGAAUAUUGCGCAAUGGGCGAAAGCCUGACGCAGCAACGCCGCGUGCGGGAUGAAGGCCUUCGGGUUGUAAACCGCUUUCAGCAGGGAAGAUGCGAAAGUGACGGUACCUGCAGAAGAAGCACCGGCUAACUACGUG
This 485-nucleotide ribosomal RNA is filed under the name uncultured bacterium. RNAcentral describes it as "bacterial SSU rRNA". It matches the Rfam family "Bacterial small subunit ribosomal RNA", at positions 9 to 507 of the family's 1533-position model. The record is from RNAcentral.